UGAGGAUAGAACCCCAGACUACCUGAUUCCCAGCCUACCUGGAGCUCCACCUCUUGCCACUUCGUGGGGAAAACCCACAAUAAACCAGUGAGAGGAGUUCAAGCCAAGCUCUCCGGAUUGCAUCCAGCGAAGUCUAAACCGGGCAGCGCCAAAGAGCCAGAGGAUGCAAUAACCAGUGGGGCUUUUCUGGGCCGGUGGUUCCGGACGUGCUGUGUGGCCCUGAGGUGUCUCUGGUCAGAAGAGAACAAGCAGGGAGGGCUGUUUCCUGGGUUGGAGACAUGCAGCAGCCUGCAGACAGAGAGCUGUAAGGGCCCCAGCUGCUGAGAAAGGAAGGAGCCAAGAGAACCCAAUCGGACAGUGUCCCAGGUAAGCUUUCCUCCAGGAACUUGGCAUCCUGGAUCCAGGGGCAGGAGGCACAGUGGUCCAGCCUCCUCCACAUC
This 440-nucleotide long non-coding RNA is filed under the name Vombatus ursinus (common wombat). RNAcentral's name for it is "lncRNA (ENSVURG00010008304.1)". Lineage: Eukaryota; Metazoa; Chordata; Mammalia; Diprotodontia; Vombatidae. The record is from RNAcentral.